This 23-nucleotide small nuclear RNA is filed under the name Arabidopsis thaliana (thale cress). Its description in RNAcentral is "snRNA_08718". The record is from RNAcentral. Lineage: Eukaryota; Viridiplantae; Streptophyta; Magnoliopsida; Brassicales; Brassicaceae.
CGAUACGGUUUUGGUCACCAUUC